RNAcentral lists this ribosomal RNA (467 nucleotides) under uncultured bacterium. RNAcentral's name for it is "partial 16S ribosomal RNA". It matches the Rfam family "Bacterial small subunit ribosomal RNA", at positions 28 to 506 of the family's 1533-position model. The record is from RNAcentral.
GACGAACGCUGGCGGCGUGCUUAACACAUGCAAGUCGAACGGAAAGGCCCUGCUUUUGUGGGGUGCUCGAGUGGCGAACGGGUGAGUAACACGUGAGUAACCUGCCCUUGACUUUGGGAUAACUUCAGGAAACUGGGGCUAAUACCGGAUAGGAGCUCCUGCUGCAUGGUGAGGGUUGGAAAGUUUCGGCGGUUGGGGAUGGACUCGCGGCUUAUCAGCUUGUUGGUGGGGUAGUGGCUUACCAAGGCUUUGACGGGUAGCCGGCCUGAGAGGGUGACCGGCCACAUUGGGACUGAGAUACGGCCCAGACUCAUACGGGAGGCAGCAGUGGGGAAUAUUGCACAAUGGGCGGAAGCCUGAUGCAGCAACGCCGCGUGCGGGAUGACGGCCUUCGGGUUGUAAACCGCUUUCGCCUGUGACGAAGCGUGAGGGACGGUAAUGGGUAAAGAAGCACCGGCUAACUACGU